GCAGGGUUUGGGUCAGGUGAGGUUCUGCAUAGCUAACAAUACCCCAAUUAUGCUAUGCUGCUGCCAAGGGACCUCACAAGGAGGUAGUACAAGCCACUGCUAGUGGCUAUACAAAGGAGUGAAGCCUUCUAAGUACAGUACCUGGCACAAUGAAUUGUCAAGCAAAUGGCAAAUCUUCUCUGCAGAGGGGAACUGAGACCCAGUACCCACAAUCCACUCUGGAGUCUCCUAAUAAUCCUGAAGAGGGAAGCCCAGAGGAAAUCAUCUGGUCACCAGGUAUGCCCCUGGGCUCCUGCCGCAGCUGAUCGGGUGCUAGGUGCUGAGGAUACACGUCUGGGAGAAAGCAAUUGGAAGAAAUGCAAAGCUCUUCAAAGGAGGCCUAUAAAGUCAUCUUUGUUUUGUUCAUUCUUCUCAUGUUUCUGCAUUCUGGGCAUUCUCCUAAAUUGGGGAGAAACCAAAAUGCCCAGAAGUCAAAUUCUGCAACUGUCAUCAUGCAAAAUGUCAAAUGAGAGAACCAAAGUAUGCUGGAUUCUAUAUUGUUAG
Molecule: long non-coding RNA, 543 nt
Filed under: Pan troglodytes (chimpanzee)
Lineage: Eukaryota; Metazoa; Chordata; Mammalia; Primates; Hominidae
Description: lncRNA (ENSPTRG00000053632.1)
Source: RNAcentral